UGCAUGAAGCCGGAAUCGCUAGUAAUCGCAGAUCAGAAUGCUGCGGUGAAUACGUUCCCGGGUCUUGUACACACCGCCCGUCACACCAUGGGAGUCGAUAACGCCCGAAGUCAGUGGCCCAACCGAGAGGAGGGAGCUGCCGAAGGCGGGAUGGAUAACUGGGGUGAAGUCGUAACAAGGUAGC
This 184-nucleotide ribosomal RNA is filed under the name uncultured bacterium. Its description in RNAcentral is "partial 16S ribosomal RNA". It matches the Rfam family "Bacterial small subunit ribosomal RNA", at positions 1317 to 1500 of the family's 1533-position model. The record is from RNAcentral.